RNAcentral lists this ribosomal RNA (654 nucleotides) under uncultured bacterium. RNAcentral's name for it is "bacterial SSU rRNA". It matches the Rfam family "Bacterial small subunit ribosomal RNA", at positions 202 to 842 of the family's 1533-position model. The record is from RNAcentral.
GAAAGAUGGCUUUGGCUAUCACUCUGGGAUGGACCUGCGGUGCAUUAGCUAGUUGGUAAGGUAACGGCUUACCAAGGCGAUGAUGCAUAGCCGAGUUGAGAGACUGAUCGGCCACAAUGGAACUGAGACACGGUCCAUACUCCUACGGGAGGCAGCAGUAGGGAAUCUUCCACAAUGGGCGCAAGCCUGAUGGAGCAACACCGCGUGAGUGAAGAAGGGUUUCGGCUCGUAAAGCUCUGUUGUUGGAGAAGAACGUGCGUGAGAGUAACUGUUCACGCAGUGACGGUAUCCAACCAGAAAGUCACGGCUAACUACGUGCCAGCAGCCGCGGUAAUACGUAGGUGGCAAGCGUUAUCCGGAUUUAUUGGGCGUAAAGCGAGCGCAGGCGGUUGCUUAGGUCUGAUGUGAAAGCCUUCGGCUUAACCGAGGAAUUGCAUCGGAAACUGGGCGACUUGAGUGCAGAAGAGGACAGUGGAACUCCAUGUGUAGCGGUGGAAUGCGUAGAUAUAUGGAAGAACACCAGUGGCGAAGGCGGCUGUCUGGUCUGCAACUGACGCUGAGGCUCGAAAGCAUGGGUAGCGAACAGGAUUAGAUACCCUGGUAGUCCAUGCCGUAAACGAUGAGUGCUAGGUGUUGGGAGGUUUCCGCCUCUCA